Molecule: ribosomal RNA, 332 nt
Filed under: uncultured bacterium
Lineage: Bacteria
Description: bacterial SSU rRNA
Rfam family: Bacterial small subunit ribosomal RNA
Source: RNAcentral
CGCGUAGGCGGCGCGACAAGUCAAUGGUGAAAGCCCGAGGCUCAACUUCGGGUCGGCCACUGAUACUGUUGGGCUUGAGCACUGUAGAGGCAGGUGGAAUUCCGGGUGUAGCGGUGGAAUGCGUAGAGAUCCGGAAGAACACCGGUGGCGAAGGCGGCCUGCUGGGCAGUAGCUGACGCUGAUGCGCGACAGCGUGGGGAGCAAACAGGAUUAGAUACCCUGGUAGUCCACGCCGUAAACGAUGGGCACUAGGUGCUUGGGGGAGCGACCCUCUGAGUGCCGGCGCUAACGCAUUAAGUGCCCCGCCUGGGGAGUACGGCCGCAAGGCUGAA